CAUACUGCAGUCGAGCGAAUCACUUCGGUGGUUAGCGGCGGACGGGUGAGUAACACGUGGGCAACCUGCCUGUAAGACUGGGAUAACACCGGGAAACCGGUGCUAAUACCGGAUAAUCCUUUUCCUCUCAUGAGGAAAAGCUGAAAGUCGGUUUCGGCUGACACUUACAGAUGGGCCCGCGGCGCAUUAGCUAGUUGGUGAGGUAACGGCUCACCAAGGCGACGAUGCGUAGCCGACCUGAGAGGGUGAUCGGCCACACUGGGACUGAGACACGGCCCAGACUCCUACGGGAGGCAGCAGUAGGGAAUCUUCCACAAUGGACGAAAGUCUGAUGGAGCAACGCCGCGUGAGCGAUGAAGGCCUUCGGGUCGUAAAGCUCUGUUGUUAGGGAAGAACAAGUACCGGAGUAACUGCCGGUACCUUGACGGUACCUAACCAGAAAGCCACGGCUAACUACGUGCCAGCAGCCGCGGUAAUACGUAGGUGGCAAGCGUUGUCCGGAAUUAUUGGGCGUAAAGCGCGCGCAGGCGGUCCUUUAAGUCUGAUGUGAAAGCCCACGGCUCAACCGUGGAGGGUCAUUGGAAACUGGGGGACUUGAGUGCAGAAGAGGAAAGCGGAAUUCCACGUGUAGCGGUGAAAUGCGUAGAGAUGUGGAGGAACACCAGUGGCGAAGGCGGCUUUCUGGUCUGUAACUGACGCUGAGGCGCGAAAGCGUGGGGAGCAAACAGGAUUAGAUACCCUGGUAGUCCACGCCGUAAACGAUGAGUGCUAAGUGUUAGGGGGUUUCCGCCCCUUAGUGCUGCAGCUAACGCAUUAAGCACUCCGCCUGGGGAGUAGCGCAAGGCUGAAACUCAAAGGAAUUGACGGGGGCCCGCACAAGCGGUGGAGCAUGUGGUUUAAUUCGAGCAACGCGAAGAACCUUACCAGGCUUGACUCCUCUGACACUCCUAAGAUAGGACGUUCCCCUUC
This 969-nucleotide ribosomal RNA is filed under the name Bacillus sp. BMR7. Its description in RNAcentral is "bacterial SSU rRNA". It matches the Rfam family "Bacterial small subunit ribosomal RNA", at positions 50 to 1022 of the family's 1533-position model. The record is from RNAcentral. Lineage: Bacteria; Bacillati; Bacillota; Bacilli; Caryophanales; Bacillaceae.